Molecule: ribosomal RNA, 300 nt
Filed under: uncultured Sphingomonas sp.
Lineage: Bacteria; Pseudomonadati; Pseudomonadota; Alphaproteobacteria; Sphingomonadales; Sphingomonadaceae
Description: bacterial SSU rRNA
Rfam family: Bacterial small subunit ribosomal RNA
Source: RNAcentral
AACGCGUGGGAAUCUGCCCUUGGGUUCGGAAUAACAGUUAGAAAUGACUGCUAAUACCGGAUGAUGUCUUCGGACCAAAGAUUUAUCGCCCAAGGAUGAGCCCGCGUCGGAUUAGCUAGUUGGUGAGGUAAAGGCUCACCAAGGCGACGAUCCGUAGCUGGUCUGAGAGGAUGAUCAGCCACACUGGGACUGAGACACGGCCCAGACUCCUACGGGAGGCAGCAGUGGGGAAUAUUGCACAAUGGGGGAAACCCUGAUGCAGCCAUGCCGCGUGUGUGAAGAAGGCUUUCGGGUUGUAAA